This 429-nucleotide ribosomal RNA is filed under the name Bacteroidota bacterium. RNAcentral describes it as "Bacteroidetes bacterium partial 16S ribosomal RNA". It matches the Rfam family "Bacterial small subunit ribosomal RNA", at positions 355 to 776 of the family's 1533-position model. Lineage: Bacteria; Pseudomonadati; Bacteroidota. The record is from RNAcentral.
UAGGGAAUCUUCGGCAAUGGGGGGAACCCUGACCGAGCAACGCCGCGUGAGUGAAGAAGGUUUUCGGAUCGUAAAGCUCUGUUGUUAAGGAAGAACGAGUGUGAGAAUGGAAAGUUCAUACUGUGACGGUACUUAACCAGAAAGGGACGGCUAACUACGUGCCAGCAGCCGCGGUAAUACGUAGGUCCCGAGCGUUGUCCGGAUUUAUUGGGCGUAAAGCGAGCGCAGGCGGUUAGAUAAGUCUGAAGUUAAAGGCAGUGGCUCAACCAUUGUAGGCUUUGGAAACUGUUUAACUUGAGUGCAGAAGGGGAGAGUGGAAUUCCAUGUGUAGCGGUGAAAUGCGUAGAUAUAUGGAGGAACACCGGUGGCGGAAGCGGCUCUCUGGUCUGUAACUGACGCUGAGGCUAGAAAGCGUGGGGAGCGAACAGG